AGCAUCAGCCCUCAUCUUUCACUCACACAGCUGUGCGUAAAAGCGCGCAAACGUUGCGUAAAGGGACCUCGGCAAAAGAACCGUGGAUGUUGCUCUCUUCAUCUGAAACUCAGCAGUGAGGUGUGAUCCACUUGCACACAGAUAUUUAUUAUCUGUGUUCCUGGCUAAGUACACACAGUCUGCAGUGAUGGAAACGCUUAAACUUGUUUUCAUUUCUGUGCUGCUUCUGUCAAACGUUUUCUGUCAAGAUAUGGAUGCUGACAUCUGGAGAGAAGACAUCGAGGAGGAAAAAUGGCCAAACUCUAAAGAAAUUCAAGACAUUUUAGUUAGAAUGAUCAGAAAACCAGGAUCUCGCCAACAUCUUGGAUUUAUGGGGAGAAAGGAGUCUGGAAAAACACGGACGGCACGUAAACGGCACAAAUUUCAAACCUUUGUGGGUCUGAUGGGGAAGAGAAGCUCUUGGGAUUAAGGAGCUCUGUGACCCGGCGUCGAUUCAAGGCUGAAGAUCGGAGAGAAAAACUAAAUUUCCAUCCGUGUGAUUUGUCUCCAUUCAACUUUUAUAGUCUGUACAUAUUAUUUAAUGUAUAAAAUAUAACAUUUAGUGCCAUUGAAAAUCGCCCUAACACUUAAAGUGCACAGAGCGACACCUAGUGGUAAAACAGUGUCCUAUAUUGCCACCAUAGAAAUCAUUUAAUAAUUCAAAAUUACCAGAGCACGUGUUUAAAUUGAGGGGCUUUAUAAAAAAA
Maylandia zebra (zebra mbuna) is the source of this 746-nucleotide long non-coding RNA. RefSeq lists it as uncharacterized. The record is from RefSeq and is a predicted model, not a curated record. Lineage: Eukaryota; Metazoa; Chordata; Actinopteri; Cichliformes; Cichlidae.